UACGAAGGGGGCUAGCGUUGUUCGGAAUUACUGGGCGUAAAGCGCACGUAGGCGGAUACUUAAGUUAGGGGUGAAAUCCCAGGGCUCAACCCUGGAACUGCCUUUAAUACUGGGUAUCUCGAGUCCGAGAGAGGUGAGUGGAAUUCCGAGUGUAGAGGUGAAAUUCGUAGAUAUUCGGAGGAACACCAGUGGCGAAGGCGGCUCACUGGCUCGGUACCGACGCUGAGGUGCGAAAGCGUGGGGAGCAAACAGG
Molecule: ribosomal RNA, 253 nt
Filed under: uncultured bacterium
Lineage: Bacteria
Description: partial 16S ribosomal RNA
Rfam family: Bacterial small subunit ribosomal RNA
Source: RNAcentral